This 199-nucleotide long non-coding RNA is filed under the name Manihot esculenta (cassava). Its description in RNAcentral is "long non-coding RNA (MESC_LNC009938)". The record is from RNAcentral. Lineage: Eukaryota; Viridiplantae; Streptophyta; Magnoliopsida; Malpighiales; Euphorbiaceae.
AAGAAGCUAGUUUUGUGGAAAUAUAAAACUCUUUUGCAGCAAUCCCAGCGUGCCAAAUUCUUAAAGCUUUACCAGUGAAGAUUAUGAAAGCUGCAAGAUAAUUUCCUGACGCGACUGUUUGUAAUGGUAAGGUGAAAGAAUGGUUAUCUUGAAGAAGACCUAUUGUCAACCAAUGCAUGCAUUGUUGUAAACUUUCCAG